RNAcentral lists this ribosomal RNA (504 nucleotides) under uncultured bacterium. RNAcentral describes it as "partial 16S ribosomal RNA". It matches the Rfam family "Bacterial small subunit ribosomal RNA", at positions 30 to 523 of the family's 1533-position model. The record is from RNAcentral.
AUUGAACGCUGGCGGCAGGCCUAACACAUGCAAGUCGAACGGUAGCACAGAGAGCUUGCUCUCGGGUGACGAGUGGCGGACGGGUGAGUAAAGUAUCGGAACGUGCCCAGUCGUGGGGGAUAACGUAGCGAAAGUUACGCUAAUACCGCAUACGAUCUAUGGAUGAAAGCGGGGGAUCGCAAGACCUCGCGCGAUUGGAGCGGCCGAUAUCAGAUUAGGUAGUUGGUGGGGUAAAGGCUCACCAAGCCGACGAUCUGUAGCUGGUCUGAGAGGACGACCAGCCACACUGGGACUGAGACACGGCCCAGACUCCUACGGGAGGCAGCAGUGGGGAAUUUUGGACAAUGGGCGAAAGCCUGAUCCAGCCAUGCCGCGUGCAGGAUGAAGGCCUUCGGGUUGUAAACUGCUUUUGUACGGAACGAAAAGGUUUGGCCUAAUAAGCUGAGCUCAUGACGGUACCGUAAGAAUAAGCACCGGCUAACUACGUGCCAGCCGCCGCCGUAA